UCAACGGCCCUAUUUAGGGCCACCAAUCUGCGAAUACAAACCGAAA
Necator americanus (New World hookworm) is the source of this 46-nucleotide non-coding RNA. NCBI's taxonomy places the organism in Eukaryota, Metazoa, Nematoda, Chromadorea, Rhabditida, Ancylostomatidae. The record is from Rfam.